Molecule: non-coding RNA, 2244 nt
Organism: Aegilops tauschii subsp. strangulata
Lineage: Eukaryota; Viridiplantae; Streptophyta; Magnoliopsida; Poales; Poaceae
Source: RefSeq, a predicted model, not a curated record
UCGGCUUCCUCCCUUCUCCUGUUCACGCGAGGGACCGCCGCCGCCGCCCCUUCCCCUUCCAAACUCGCACUCGCCGGCCAUCCUCCCCGUCCGCCGCCGCCGCCACCGACCAGCCGCGCCCGCGCUACCAUCCCCUCCCCGUUCCUCUCCGAGAAGCAGCCCAAGGGCAGCCGCCUGCCGCUCGGCACGAACGCGGAUGCGGUGGCCGAAGGGGGAAGCGGCGCUGCUUUGGCGCCGCUAAGCGCCACCACCCCCCGUCCCUUCGUCCCCCGCCGCCUCUCUGCCUCCUCCCUUCCCGCCACACACCCUCCCUUCCCCUGCGCCGUUGCGCUGCUGCUCCACUGGGUACGAGUUCCAUGGCGGUCCGGGAUCCAUGGCCUCCGACUUGGCGUCGUAGCCGUCAGCCUCGGCGUUGAGACAGUGCCAAGGAAUUUCACGCGGGGAAGUGGCUCACCGAUGCGCGUCUCGUGGCCCCGCUGGAUCCGGUGCUCAACACCUCCAUCUCGUGCGUCACGAAGUCGCCGCCGGGGACGCUGCGCUGGUCGGUCGGAGGCCGAGCUAGCCUCGUCCUCUAAGUUACCCUCCGGCAUCAUCAAGCUAAGAGAGGGAGAUUGAACGAUGAGGAAGCAGAGAGGGAGAUUGUGGGACGAAGAGAGGGAUGCGGGAGGCAGCAGUCCAUUCCUGCGGUCGACCUCAUUCUUGAUUGGAUUAGUAAACAAAGAGGGAGGAGGGGUCGGGGGAUGGAGGGAUGGAGAAGCUCUCAUCGGCAGCGGCUUUCGUGGAGGGCGGUGUGUACACCUGCGACCACACCUACAGCAUCUGCCUCAAGGCCUUCUGCGACAGUGACUCCUCCACAGUAGCUACCUCUGUCUUGCAGAUGUUACAGGCUGCAAGCAUGAUUUGCAUCUCCAGUGCAUCCUUGAGUGGUGCCAGAGAAGCUCCCAGUGUCCCAUGUGUUGGCAGGCAAUCAACACGAAGGACCCUAUGAGUGCUUUGGAGAAGAUGGACAUGAGGCCCCAACCUGCACUGGCAUAGCUAGGCAGGGGAGUAUCCUUCCACUUGACAUUUCCUUCUCAGUUUUGUAUGUUUAAUUUUUAGAGCCGUGGUUACUAUGAAAACCGAGAUGUGGAUAUUGCAGUAUUGAUCUUAGUUCAAUUCAUUCUAUUACGUAGCCUCACUUUGUUAUCCAUGAUUUCCCUCAUUUGAUUGAUUUGACACAUGUUCAUUCACUAGAUUAUAGUCUACUUCAUUUUUUGUGUAUUUAGUUCUAGGUUGUUUUGAUUUAAGUGGUACUUGAUUUCUUGGCAUUGUUCAUUGUCUCGAGCCAUGUCUGAAACUGAAGGAAAGAAGGCCCUGACCACUCUCAUCAUUUACUCAAGUAAUAACACCAUCGGCGACAGGAACGACAAGCUGACGCAGAUGCGUGCCUCGAUUGUUUAUAUAAAUGUGUAAGUAGAAAAAUUUCGUGGGCAACAACCUGGGAUAGAUAAGAGAGAUACGAAUCAUACGAUGGUCUUUCAGAAGAGAUGCUGCUACGAAGAUCUUUAUCGUAUCUUGGUGGCUGCUAAUGAAUCAUGUAAUGAUGGCGCAGAACUCACCAGAGGAAAAAGACCGAACUGCGGAGUUUCCCCAUUGUUAGAGCUCUUGGUGCCCGGACAAGACCUCUAUCUCGAUUCUCCCUUCGCAGCUCCGCUCCACCGACCUGAUGGCGAUGGCUGACGAAGAGCUCUAUGUCCAUGGCUCGUCAGGUUCCGCUGGCUCCACUAACAGCCGUCUACGGGCGCUUGCACAGGUCAGGAUACCAAGCGAGUGUUUAGGAUCCCACACAGGGCAUUUCUUGACAUGCUCCUAGCACACCUUGGGCUAAUCACCGGCUCAGUAUGAUCGUGUUGUACAUGAGGACGGCAAGAUCUGUGUGACCAUCUUUUUCAACACCUGUACAUUGGAUCUUGGAGGACCAAUCAGUAUGAACGCGUCGUGUCAUCAUUCCUCCUGGUCUACAUUAUGCCCAGACAUGCAAAGUUGUGGAUUGUCUGUAAGCUACCAUUUGCUUUCGUAUGUCCUAUGUCUGUGAUAUUUGCUACUAAACCUAUUGUGCUACGUGCUUUCUAUGUUCGUACAUUGUUAGGUGGCUCCUUAUUGUGUGCAUACAAACAAACCUUACUUCUGAAUGAUUCUUCAUUAGUUUUUUCUAUUUUUAUCAUGGCUGACAGAAUAAUGAGUGAAAAAAUUGCUUUGCUUAAA